Molecule: ribosomal RNA, 441 nt
Filed under: uncultured bacterium
Lineage: Bacteria
Description: partial 16S ribosomal RNA
Rfam family: Bacterial small subunit ribosomal RNA
Source: RNAcentral
CCUACGGGAGGCAGCAGUCGGGAAUAUUGCUCAAUGGAGGAAACUCUGACGCAGCGACGCCGCGUAUAGGAAGACGUUUUUCGGGAUGUAAACUAUUUUCGUUGGGGACGAGAAGGAGCAGUACCUAAGGAGGACGCUCCGUCUAACUACGUGCCAGCAGCCGCGGUAAUACGUAGGGAGCGAGCGUUAUCCGGAAUUAUUGGGUGUAAAGUGUGCGUAGACGGGAAAACAAGAGAGUGGUGAAAUCCCUGGGCUUAACGGAGGAACCGCAAAUAAAACUAUUUUUCUUGAUUGCAGUAGAGGUAAGUGGAAUUCCGAGUGUAGCGGGGAAAUGCGUAGAUAUUAGGAGGAACACCAGUGGCGAAGGCGACUUACUGGACUGUAACUGACGUUGAGGCACGAAAGUGUGGGGAGCAAACAGGAUUAGAUACCCGAGUAGUC